RNAcentral lists this ribosomal RNA (465 nucleotides) under uncultured bacterium. RNAcentral's name for it is "partial 16S ribosomal RNA". It matches the Rfam family "Bacterial small subunit ribosomal RNA", at positions 28 to 507 of the family's 1533-position model. The record is from RNAcentral.
GACGAACGCUGGCGGCGUGCUUAACACAUGCAAGUCGAACGGAAAGGCCCCUUUGGGGGUACUCGAGUGGCGAACGGGUGAGUAACACGUGAGUAACCUGCCCUUGACUUCGGGAUAACUUCAGGAAACUGGGGCUAAUACCGGAUAGGAAUCCUUGCUGCAUGGUGGGGGUUGGAAAGCUUCGGCGGUUUUGGAUGGACUCGCGGCUUAUCAGCUUGUUGGUGGGGUAGUGGCUUACCAAGGCUUUGACGGGUAGCCGGCCUGAGAGGGCGACCGGCCACAGUGGGACUGAGAUACGGCCCAGACUCCUACGGGAGGCAGCAGUGGGGAAUAUUGCACAAUGGGCGGAAGCCUGAUGCAGCAACGCCGCGUGCGGGAUGACGGCCUUCGGGUUGUAAACCGCGUUCAGCAGGGGCGAAGCUUGUGGUGACGGUACCUGCAGAAGAAGCACCGGCUAACUACGUG